This 206-nucleotide ribosomal RNA is filed under the name uncultured bacterium. RNAcentral describes it as "partial 16S ribosomal RNA". It matches the Rfam family "Bacterial small subunit ribosomal RNA", at positions 326 to 545 of the family's 1533-position model. The record is from RNAcentral.
ACGCUCGACACCUACGGGAAGCAGCAGUGGGGAAUAUUGCACAAUGGGGGAAACCCUGAUGCAGCGACGCCGCGUGGAGGAAGAAGGUCUUCGGAUUGUAAACUCCUGUUGUUGGGGAAAAAGAGGAUGGUACCCAACAAGGAAGUGACGGCUAACUACGUGCCAGCACGCCGGUAGGUAAUCUGGAGGCGGGCGUGGACGAAGGC